Molecule: long non-coding RNA, 502 nt
Organism: Platichthys flesus (European flounder)
Lineage: Eukaryota; Metazoa; Chordata; Actinopteri; Pleuronectiformes; Pleuronectidae
Exons: 3
Source: RefSeq, a predicted model, not a curated record
UAUUCUAACACAGAUAACUAAGCAGGAGACCCACACACAUCCAUAUAGUUCACAUUCUCCAGAGUAAAGAGCUUGUGAGAGAUGCUGUGGUUGGAUUCAAUCGACUGACAGAUGGAUUAUGAGGCUUAUUACACUUAAAUAAUGUGAGAAGUUGGGAGGCUGCCCCAUUCGCCUGUCAAAGAUUUAAGCCUGUAAGAUUGGUUCAGACGAGGCUGCAGAUACUGCAGAUUUGCAGUGCAUAGGCAAAAAUCCUACUUCUCCACCAAGUGUCAUCAUCCUACAUGAUCACAAAUUUUGUUUUCCUCAGGGCAAGAACACAGAUCAUGCUGCCACGUGGUGACUUCGACCGUCCGUAUGCUUCCAUCCUCAAGGCAGUUCCUUUGUUCCAGGAAAGAGAGCGAUCUUCUACCUCAAUGUGAGAGGCAGAACUCAGGGAUGAAGACAGCUCGUGAACUUGUCCCUCCAGCUCUCCCACUCUGAGUGUGAGCGUCGUCUUCUCUCC